GACGAACGCUGGCGGCGUGCCUAAUACAUGCAAGUAGAACGCACAGUUUAUACCUUAGCUUGCUACACCAUAAACUGUGAGUUGCGAACGGGUGAGUAACGCGUAGGUAACCUGCCUGGUAGCGGGGGAUAACUAUUGGAAACGAUAGCUAAUACCGCAUAAUAUUAAUUAUUGCAUGAUAAUUGAUUGAAAGAUGCAAUUGCAUCACUACCAGAUGGACCUGCGUUGUAUUAGCUAGUAGGUGAGGUAACGGCUCACCUAGGCGACGAUACAUAGCCGACCUGAGAGGGUGAUCGGCCACACUGGGACUGGGACACGGCCCAGACUCCUACGGGAGGCAGCAGUAGGGAAUCUUCGGCAAUGGACGAAAGUCUGACCGAGCAACGCCGCGUGAGGGAAGAAGGUUUUCGGAUCGUAAAGCUCUGUUGUAAGAGAAGAACGGGUGUGAGAGUGGAAAGUUCACACUGUGACGGUAUCUUACCAGAAAGGGACGGCUAACUACGUG
This 505-nucleotide ribosomal RNA is filed under the name uncultured bacterium. RNAcentral's name for it is "partial 16S ribosomal RNA". It matches the Rfam family "Bacterial small subunit ribosomal RNA", at positions 28 to 507 of the family's 1533-position model. The record is from RNAcentral.